This 72-nucleotide non-coding RNA is filed under the name Ixodes ricinus (castor bean tick). The record is from RNAcentral. Lineage: Eukaryota; Metazoa; Arthropoda; Arachnida; Ixodida; Ixodidae.
UCUGUCUUGGGCUGGAGUUCGUCGUUGUUCUCACGCUAAACUCAACGAUGGACAGCAGCCCAACACUGAACU